CCUACGGGUGGCUGCAGUGAGGAAUAUUGGUCAAUGGGCGAGAGCCUGAACCAGCAAAGUCGCGUGAGGGAAGACGGUCCUAUGGAUUGUAAACCCCUUUUGCCGGGGAGCAAAAAGCGGUACGUGUACCGCAUCGAGAGUACCCGGAGAAAAAGCAUCGGCAAACACCGUGCCAGCAGCCGCGGUAAUACGGAGGAUGCGCGCGUUAUCCGGAUUUAUUGGGUUGAAAGGGUGCGCAGGCGGCGAGUUAAGGCAGCGGAAAAAUUUCGGGGCUCAACCCCGACAAGCCGUUGAAACUGGCUUGCUAGAGUGGACGAGAGGUAUGCGGAAUGCGUGGUGUAGCGGUGGAAUGCGUAGAUAUCACGCAGAACUCCGAUUGCGAAGGCAGCAUACCGGCGCCCAACUGACGCUCAGGCACGAAAGCGUGGGUAUCGAACAGGAUUAGAUACCCUAGUAGUC
Molecule: ribosomal RNA, 459 nt
Filed under: uncultured bacterium
Lineage: Bacteria
Description: partial 16S ribosomal RNA
Rfam family: Bacterial small subunit ribosomal RNA
Source: RNAcentral